Molecule: long non-coding RNA, 207 nt
Organism: Herpailurus yagouaroundi (jaguarundi)
Lineage: Eukaryota; Metazoa; Chordata; Mammalia; Carnivora; Felidae
Exons: 2
Source: RefSeq, a predicted model, not a curated record
CAGAAGCAAGAACAGGCUAGACCAGCCAGAAAUGGGGGCAUCCGUGUUUGUACUCUCCUGUCUGCCCGGCUGGGCCACACAGCCUGAACUGUGCAACAGGGAUACUGGAAUCCGGAGGAGAGUCAGGCUGCCUGCAGAGAGAGACCCUUUCCUCCGCUACCUGAUUGCCAGUUACAUUAAAUACAUGACAAGAGUUUAUUAACACUG